UCUUGGUCAUUUAGAGGAAGUAAAAGUCGUAACAAGGUUUCCGUAGGUGAACCUGCGGAAGGAUCAUUAUUGAAAUAAAUCUGAUGGGUUGUUGCUGGUUCCCUAGGGAGCAUGUGCACGCCUUGUCAUCUUUAUAUCUCCACCUGUGCACUUUUUGUAGACCUUUCAGGUCUAUGUUGCUUCAUUUACCCCAAUGUAUGUCAAUAGAAUGUUGUGCCUAUUUUAAUAUAUACAACUUUCAGCAACGGAUCUCUUGGCUCUCGCAUCGAUGAAGAACGCAGCGAAAUGCGAUAAGUAAUGUGAAUUGCAGAAUUCAGUGAAUCAUCGAAUCUUUGAACGCACCUUGCGCUCCUUGGUAUUCCGAGGAGCAUGCCUGUUUGAGUGUCAUUAAUAUAUCAACCUUCUCUUGUUUGAGUGGUUUGGAUGUGGGGGUUUGCUGGCCUAGUAAAAGGGUUCAGCUCCUCUGAAAUGCAUUAGCAGAACAACCCUUGUUCAUUGGUGUGAUAACUAUCUACGCUAUUGAAUGUGAGGGGGGCAGUUCAGCUUACUAACAGUCUUAGGACAAUUCAUCAUUAAUGUGACCUCAAAUCAGGUAGGACUACCCGCUGAACUUAAGCAUAUCAAUAAGCGGAGGA
RNAcentral lists this ribosomal RNA (635 nucleotides) under Cortinarius sp. 2 RB-2011. RNAcentral describes it as "eukaryotic LSU rRNA". The stretch from base 234 to 387 matches the Rfam family "5.8S ribosomal RNA". The record is from RNAcentral. Lineage: Eukaryota; Fungi; Basidiomycota; Agaricomycetes; Agaricales; Cortinariaceae.